Molecule: ribosomal RNA, 460 nt
Filed under: uncultured bacterium
Lineage: Bacteria
Description: partial 16S ribosomal RNA
Rfam family: Bacterial small subunit ribosomal RNA
Source: RNAcentral
UCUACGGGUGGCAGCAGUGAGGAAUAUUGGUCAAUGGACGAGAGUCUGAACCAGCCAAGUCGCGUGAAGGAUGACGGCCCUAUGGGUUGUAAACUUCUUUUAUAUGGGAAUAAAAUGUGCCACGUGUGGGAUUUUGUAUGUACCAUAUGAAUAAGGAUCGGCUAACUCCGUGCCAGCAGCCGCGGUAAGACGGAGGAACCGAGCGUUAUCCGGAUUUAUUGGGUUUAAAGGGAGCGUAGGUGGAUUGUUAAGUCAGUUGUGAAAGUUUGCGGCGCAACCGUAAAACUGCAGUUGAAACUGGCAGUCUUGAGUACAGUAGAGGUGGGCGGAAUGCGUGGUGUAGCGGUGAAAUGCUUAGAUAUCACGAAGAACUCCGAUUGCGAAGGCAGUGCACUGGACUGCAACUGACACUGAGGCUCGAAAGUGUGGGUAUCAAACAGGAUUAGAUACCCGUGUAGUC